RNAcentral lists this ribosomal RNA (393 nucleotides) under uncultured bacterium. RNAcentral describes it as "bacterial SSU rRNA". It matches the Rfam family "Bacterial small subunit ribosomal RNA", at positions 28 to 420 of the family's 1533-position model. The record is from RNAcentral.
GACGAACGCUGGCGGCGUGCUUAACACAUGCAAGUCGAGCGGUAAGGCCCUUUCGGGGGUACGACGAGCGGCGAACGGGUGAGUAACACGUGGGUGACCUGCCCUCAGCUCUGGGAUAAGCCUGGGAAACCGGGGUCUAAUACCGGAUAUGACUCCAUGACGCAUGUUGUGGGGUGGAAAGCCUUGUGCGGCUGAGGAUGGGCCCGCGGCCUAUCAGCUUGUUGGUGGGGUGAUGGCCUACCAAGGCGACGACGGGUAGCCGGCCUGAGAGGGCGACCGGCCACACUGGGACUGAGACACGGCCCAGACUCCUACGGGAGGCAGCAGUGGGGAAUCUUGCGCAAUGGGCGAAAGCCUGACGCAGCGACGCCGCGUGAGGGAUGACGGCCUCGG